AACGAACGCUGGCGGCGCGCCUAAUACAUGCAAGUCGAGCGAGAAGGUGUAGCAAUACACUUGUAAAGCGGCGAACGGGUGAGGAACACGUGAGAAACCUGCCCUGGAGAGGGGAAUAACACUGGGAAACCAGUGCUAAUGCCUCAUGUUGUUAACUGAUCGCAUGGUUGGUUAAUGAAAUGAAUUUUGCUCCGGGAUGGUCUCGCGCCCUAUCAGCUUGAUGGUGAGGUAACGGCUCACCAUGGCGACGACGGGUAGCUGGUCUGAGAGGACGAACAGCCACACUGGGACUGAGACACGGCCCAGACUCCUACGGGAGGCAGCAGCUAGGAAUAUUGGGCAAUGGGCGAAAGCCUGACCCAGCAACGCCGCGUGC
This 376-nucleotide ribosomal RNA is filed under the name uncultured bacterium. RNAcentral's name for it is "bacterial SSU rRNA". It matches the Rfam family "Bacterial small subunit ribosomal RNA", at positions 29 to 404 of the family's 1533-position model. The record is from RNAcentral.